GCCAGGUGUGAUGGCUCACACCUGUAAUCCCAGCACUUUAGGAGGCUGAGGUGGGUGGAUCACCUGAGGUCAGGAGUUCGAGACCAGCCUGACCAACAUGGUGAAACCCCAUCUCUA
Macaca fascicularis (crab-eating macaque) is the source of this 117-nucleotide unclassified non-coding RNA. It matches the Rfam family "Metazoan signal recognition particle RNA". From Rfam's summary of the family: The signal recognition particle (SRP) is a universally conserved ribonucleoprotein. It is involved in the co-translational targeting of proteins to membranes. The eukaryotic SRP consists of a 300-nucleotide 7S RNA and six proteins: SRPs 72, 68, 54, 19, 14, and 9. NCBI's taxonomy places the organism in Eukaryota, Metazoa, Chordata, Mammalia, Primates, Cercopithecidae. The record is from Ensembl.